This is a long non-coding RNA of Patella vulgata (common limpet), 1782 nucleotides long. RefSeq lists it as uncharacterized. Lineage: Eukaryota; Metazoa; Mollusca; Gastropoda; Patellidae. The transcript is spliced from 3 exons. The record is from RefSeq and is a predicted model, not a curated record.
CUGAGAUAAGAUGUUUAUCUCAUGGUGUUGCCGUAAAGGUGGAGAAUGAAUCAAAUAAACCUCUAAUAGUUUUACCCAGGUCAAGUUUAAUACCUUCACGGAAACAACAUAGUUUUAUUUUACAACAAGAACAGACAACUCUUCGUAUGGAGAUAUAUGAAACAGAUUCAGAUAAUCAAUGUCAAGAUUUAUUAGCCAAGAUAAUUAUGAGAGAUUUACCUGCUGGUGCAACAAUACAAUCCAGUUUUCAUCUCAGAAGGGACGGAGAUCUUCACAUAACUUGUCACGAAACAACGUCGCAGAAAGAAGAAUCAGUAACCAUAGCAAUCAGUUGACCAAUCAGCAACUAGUUCAUAUUAUUAUAAAUUCAUAUUUAUCUUGGCCAGUACAGAACUUCAUCAUUUGUUAAUCAGGCUGACAUCUUUCACCAGAAAUUAUUUUUGUUUUAUCAAAUUGUUUGGGAAAUGUUUCACGCUUAGGCAAAUUUUGUUUCCCGUGUUUAUUUUACAUGUACCGUUAUUAACGAAGACCUAUCUCUCAUCAAACACGCGCUGUUUAUUUUACAUGUACCGUUAUUAACGAAGACCUAUCUCUCAUCAAACACGCGCUGUUUAGAACCGACUCUAGGCUUAAAAAUAUUCUUCCUUUUUGCAUGGAUAUUUAUUCAGGAGAAAAAUAUAUACGUGAUGACUAAAUUCGGAAACCAGUAAGGAAGAAAAUGUUCUCCGUUUAAACAUUGAUUGGUACAGGUCUAGACUGUUAACAGAUAAGCUUAAGUUAAGAAUUUACUCAAAAUUAUUCGCCUUAUAGCCCAUUAUAAAACUUUUGUAGAUUUAAUGUAUCAAAUACAUCAAUAAGAAACUAUGUGCAAAGUUGUGUGUUUCUAGAUCAAAGAUAUUUUUCAUAACAGUGAUUGAAAGUUGAGUAAAUUCUGAACUCAAGUCUGAGUGGUCUUUGUGAACUCAGGGCCCUUGGUCUUUGUGAACUCGGGGCCUGUGGUCUUUGUGAACUCGGGGCCUGUGGUCUUUGUUUUCUAAACCUCUUUAAUUUUUUGGUAGCUUUUCUUUGUGAAACGAAAUGAAAUGGGGUUUAAGGUCCUGCUUUUCUGCACUGACUGGGCUACUGCAGUAUGCUAUGAGGGAAAUUUUGCCCAGGCAGCCAACACAGCAUAAAGGACCUCCAGGUUAUCAAGCCCGUGUCUUCCACACGGAGCAACCGGGGCUACGUUUCUUCCUAAACAUUAUUGCUAAGACAGGGGGGGGGGGAAUGGUUAGCAUGUGCGCAUAUUAUCAUACGGUCUGUCAUUGAGUCAACUGGCAUGGGUUCGAUUCCCCAGUUGUAUGUGACAAGGAGUAGGGUUUGAAUUUGAUAUAAGAGUAGGCCGCAGUGCCGCUGUCCGGACGAAACAUCCCUCAUCGCGCAAUGUAUGACGUAUGCCCAUCUUCAUUAGCCCAGUCGGAGCAGAGCAGUAGGACGUUAAAUCACAUUUCAUUUCUGUUUAAAUUAUUAUUUUCUCCCGUCAAUACAUAGUAAGCAAAAUUUCCAAUAGGUGUGUACUGACUUUCAGUUAAAGUUUCUUCAUUGAUCGUUAAUUAAUUUGAUUAAUGUUAUAGUUUUGUUGCCAUGACAACAAACAAUAACUGCAUGUCGAACAGUGUUUGUGUUUUAGGAUAUAAGUAAAUGUAGUUACAGUCUGUUUGAUGCCCACCUUAAGAUGUGAAGAGUGUAUAAUAUUUUUUUUUGUAUAAAUGUAAAAUAAAUUACCAUUUAACUUUAUUAUGU